RNAcentral lists this long non-coding RNA (1017 nucleotides) under Fukomys damarensis (Damara mole-rat). RNAcentral's name for it is "lncRNA (ENSFDAG00000030711.1)". The record is from RNAcentral. Lineage: Eukaryota; Metazoa; Chordata; Mammalia; Rodentia; Bathyergidae.
GCCUAUCUAGACUUUGAUGUGGGGAAAAAAAAAAACAUGUAUCAUACGAAAGCCACUUUUUGAAGGUGUCUUACUGUCAUAAUAGCCAAAUGGAUACCCUAAAUAAUACAGCAACUAAAUAUUGAAAGGGACUACUAGGAAAAGGAAGCAACCAUGCCUAGUGGGGAGAUCACUAAUACAACUAUUUUAUUUGAUUUCCCCACCAAUCCUAUGAGGAAGACGUUUGAAUGUUGUUUUCACUUUUAGGACACCAUGUGGAGCUUACACGCAUUUGUGUGCAGUUAGAAAAGCAUUGCUCUGAGAGGUCCUUAGAUGUCAGCCAGCAGAAGAGGCCCAUGGCACGUGUCUCAGAGAUUCCAGCAGAGCAAGAGCUGCAGACUCUCAGAUGCCCAGGGACAGCAUUUGCAGUAGCAACACUGGAUCCUGCAUCCUCUCACCCUUCUGGAGGAGCCCUUUCUCGGUUAUGGAGGCUGCACAACAACCAGCCUUUUAGGCCAGACUCCUGCUCCAGGUGGAGGGGAGAGCUAUACCCGGAUCUUGGCAUGGAAGCUGGCAACUGCCUCUUGUUCGAUACGUGAUCACCUAUGGCGUACCUUUGGUACUUAGAGGAGAUCUAUGUGGUGCAAUUUGGGCAGCGAGGACAACUGUCCCGGUGUGGUGGGGACAGUCUUGGUGUAUGUGGCAUUGUCAAUAGUGACUCUUUUGCUGUCAGAAGACUCUCAUUCUCAAAAGGGCAUGUAGACCUCAGCUGACCCUGAGGACUCUACAACUUCAGGAAACAAGUGUGGCAACUCUGGAAAUCUCUGUGGUCUGUGCUCACCAACAAACAUACUCUAUUCAGCUGAAAGCAAGAAGAAAAGACAAUUCCAAUGUAUUAAGCCAGAAUCUUGUCAUUCUGUUUGCUUUUUCUCUCUGGCCAAGGGCGGGGGGAGGAAAAACAACAGGUCUUUGAAGGAAAUGACAAGGUGGGGAGGUGUAGAAAUUCUUGGGGCUAGUGUUAGAAAGCCAGUCUGUCCC